RNAcentral lists this ribosomal RNA (577 nucleotides) under Coelophora saucia. RNAcentral describes it as "partial 16S ribosomal RNA". The stretch from base 338 to 496 matches the Rfam family "Bacterial large subunit ribosomal RNA", at positions 2473 to 2632 of the family's 2925-position model. Lineage: Eukaryota; Metazoa; Arthropoda; Insecta; Coleoptera; Coccinellidae. The record is from RNAcentral.
GAAGGGCCGCAGUAUUUUGACUGUGCAAAGGUAGCAUAAUCAUUAGUUUUUUAAUUGAAAGCUUGUAUGAAUGGUUUGAUGAGAAAAUUUCUUUCUAUAUUUAAUUUAUUAAAAAAUUUAUUUUUAAGUUAAAAAGCUUAAAUAUUGAUAAAAGACGAGAAGACCCUAUAGAGUUUAAUAUAAAAUAUAAUUUAAUUUUUUGGAAUUUAUUAUUUUAAAAUUGUAUAUUGUAUUUGAUUGGGGUGAUUGAAAAAUUUAAUUAACUUUUUUUAUUUAUUAACAUAAAUUUAUGAAUAUUUGAUCCAUAUUAAUGAUUAAAAGAAUAAAUUACCUUAGGGAUAACAGCGUUAUUUUUUUUUAGAGUUCUAAUCGAAAAAAAAGAUUGCGACCUCGAUGUUGGAUUAAAGUUAAUUUUAGGUGCAGAAGCUUGAAUAUUUGGUCUGUUCGACCAUUAAAACUUUACAUGAUCUGAGUUUAAACCGGUGUGAGCCAGGUUGGUUUCUAUCUUUAUUAAAUAAAUAAAUUUUAGUACGAAAGGACCAUAUUUAUAAUUAAUAAUUUUUUUUUGAAUAAAAUU